Long non-coding RNA from Amphimedon queenslandica, 1579 nucleotides. RefSeq lists it as uncharacterized. The record is from RefSeq and is a predicted model, not a curated record. NCBI's taxonomy places the organism in Eukaryota, Metazoa, Porifera, Demospongiae, Haplosclerida, Niphatidae. The transcript is spliced from 7 exons.
AACUUUCUCAUACAGUUCAUCAUUUGAUGGUACUGAAAUGUCAUGGGAUUCAGAUAUAUUAAUGGAAGAUAACUCUGACAUAGAAAGCUAUAGAAAUGAUAUAAACACCGAAGAUGCCUGUAAAUUGUACAUAGAGGAAAAAAAUUUAUAGUUUUUAAAUCAUGCUUGCUAGGCCUAUUUCAACAAUGUGCAAACUGUAAAUCGGAGGUUGAAAUUGACUUGUGAACAAUUGGAACAUUUUUAUCUGUCAAGCAAACAUGUAAUGUAUGUUCACAUACUCGAAUACAGCAUAGCCAACCAGUUAGUCAAGGUUAUCCAAUUGGGAAUAUUUUAAUGUCAUCAGCGUUACUAUCAGCAGGAUUGUUGCCAAGUCCAGUAAUUCGAUUCUUUCAAUUUAUGAACUGUGCAUCUAUUGCAAAAUCUACAUUCUUUCGACAUCAGAAUACAUCUGUUCAACCAGCCAUUAGAUUAGAAUGGGAAAAAAUCCAAUCAGAAAUAAUAUCAUCUUCGAAGGCUAGUGGCAAUAAAUUAUCAAUUGGAGGUGAUGGAAGGUGCGUCAGCCCGGGAUACAGUGCAAAAUAUGGAUCAUACACAUUGAUGGACUUGGAACGUGGUCUAGUUAUUGAUUCACAACUAAUACAGAGCAAUGAAGUGUAGGGAAGUACCAACAUGGAAAAAGAGGGCUGCAUAAGAGGAAUGACAUUUUUGAAGAAACAAGAAUUAGAUGUAAAUGUGUUAGUCACUGACAGACAUGUUGAAAUAACAAAGUGGAUGAAGGACCACAUGACAGGAAUUCAGCACAAAUUUGAUGUAUGGCAUCUGGCCAAAGGACUUCAGAAAAAACUUGAUAAGCUAGCAAAGAAGAAAGGAAGUGACACUAUUGCUGAAUGGACACGUAGCAUAGUGAAUUAUCUGUACUGGUCAAUAAUGUCAACAAAAGAAGAUAAUGAAGACCUUAUUCUAGAAAAAUGGGUGUCAAUAUGCAAUCAUAUACAUAACAAGCAUCAAGGGCAUGGCAAGUUGUACUAAAAGUGCUCUCAUGGCCCACUUGGAAAAUGCAAAUGAAUAAAAAGAAAUACACAGGCCAGUAUCACUUUACUUUCUGUCAUUUAAAACAAGCAUUUGUGUACGGGUAUUGCUAAAUGCUCAAAUACUUUCCAAACAUCAAAAUUGGAAGCGUAUCAUAGCAUGGUGAAUCAUUUUGCACCCAAGCAUACUGCUCUUUCGUAUGUUAGCUAGGUUGCAACUUUCUGCUUUGCAUUUCAAUAAAAAUGCUGGGAAGAACAAGCAAUUACUAAAUCUGGAGAGAAAAGAUAUAGCAUUUUAUUUCCGAAAUUCAAAAAGGAGGUCACACUGUGAGAAAAAUUACAGAGAGUAGCUCAUAAGGCUAUACACAUGAUGUAAUGAUAGAAGCAAUCAAAUUGGCUAUCAACAAUGUUACAAUUCACACUACUACCAAUCCACCACCUACAUUAGCUAGUCAAUAUGAGAAACCAUCAAAACCAGAUACUAUAACACAGCACAUGAGUAGAUUCAACUAAAUUAAUUUAUAAUUUAAAACCAAUAUAAUGUGAUGAAU